This 436-nucleotide ribosomal RNA is filed under the name uncultured bacterium. Its description in RNAcentral is "bacterial SSU rRNA". It matches the Rfam family "Bacterial small subunit ribosomal RNA", at positions 30 to 464 of the family's 1533-position model. The record is from RNAcentral.
AGCGAACGUUUGCGGCGGGCUUAACACAUGCAAGUCGAACGGGCUGUUCCUUCGGGGGCAGUCAGUGGCGCACGGGUGCGUAACACGUAGGUAAUCAACCCUCUGGUUGGGGAUAACACUUCGAAAGGAGUGCUAAUACCCGGUAUGGCGCAGCGGUCUUCGGAUCGCGGCGAGAAAGACCCGCAAGGGUUGCCAGAGGACGAGCCUGCGGCCCAUCAGCUAGUUGGCGAGGUAACGGCUCACCAAGGCGAAGACGGGUAGCUGGUCUGAGAGGAUGAUCAGCCACACUGGAACUGAGACACGGUCCAGACUCCUACGGGAGGCAGCAGUGGGGAAUAUUGCGCAAUGGGCGAAAGCCUGACGCAGCCACGCCGCGUGAGCGAUGAAGGCCUCGGUCGUAAGUACGUACUCGUGGGUAGGAGGAAGGAAAGUAAAA